Molecule: ribosomal RNA, 462 nt
Filed under: Graphium scolytodis
Lineage: Eukaryota; Fungi; Ascomycota; Sordariomycetes; Microascales; Graphiaceae
Description: eukaryotic LSU rRNA
Rfam family: Eukaryotic large subunit ribosomal RNA
Source: RNAcentral
AAUUUGCAGAGGAUGCUCUUGGCGAGGCACCGUCCGAGUUCCCUGGAACGGGACGCCAUAGAGGGUGAGAGCCCCGUAUGGACGACUGCCGAGCCGCUGUAGAGCUCCUUCGACGAGUCGAGUAGUUUGGGAAUGCUGCUCUAAACGGGAGGUAAAUCUCUUCUAAAGCUAAAUAUUGGCCACAGACCGAUAGCGCACAAGUAGAGUGAUCGAAAGAUGAAAAGCACUUUGAAAAGAGAGUUAAACAGCACGUGAAAUUGUUGAAAGGGAAGCGCUCGUGACCAGACUUGCGCCCGGUGGAUCAUCCGGCGUUCUCGCCGGUGCACUCCGCCGGGGGCAGGCCAGCAUCGGUUCGCUGUCAGGGAGAAAGGCUCGGGGAAUGUGGCUCCCUCGGGAGUGUUAUAGCCCCUUGCGUAAUACCCUUCGGCGGACCGAGGUUCGCGCAUCUGCAAGGAUGCUGGC